RNAcentral lists this unclassified non-coding RNA (683 nucleotides) under Hevea brasiliensis (rubber tree). Lineage: Eukaryota; Viridiplantae; Streptophyta; Magnoliopsida; Malpighiales; Euphorbiaceae. The record is from RNAcentral.
GACUUCUACCAAAUUAAGUAUUCUAGGGAUCAAUCACAGAGGCCUUUGAUGAAGACUGGUUUUCUUCGGCUUUGGGGGCAAAAGGUGGAUGCAAUUGAUCAUUACAUCUCUGAGAUUGAGAAACUAUCAAAAGAAAUAGCUGAAGAGAGGGAAAAAGUUGAAACGGAUCCAAAGUCUAUCUUGCCAGCAGCUUUUGUUUCUUUCAGAAGUCGAUGGGCUGCAGCUGUUUGUGCACAAACUCAACAAUCAAGAAAUCCAACUUUGUGGUUAACAGAGUGGGGCCCAGAGCCACGUGAUGUAUAUUGGAAUAACCUAGCAAUACCAUAUGUUUCACUUGCAAUUAGGAGGUUGAUAACGAAUGUCACAUUCUUUUUCCUUACCUUCUUUUUCAUGAUCCCAAUUGCAUUUGUGCAAGCUCUUGCAAGUAUUGAAGGAAUUGAGAAAAGAGCUUCUUUUCUGAAGCCCAUUAUCGAAAUAAAAUUUAUCAAAUCAGUUAUACAAGGUCUUCUACCUGGCAUUGCAUUGAAGCUUUUUCUGAUCUUCCUGCCAACAAUAUUGAUGAUCAUGUCUAAAUUUGAAGGUUUCACGUCUCUGUCAUCUUUAGAAAGGAGAUCAGCUGCACGAUAUUAUUUUUUCAAUAUUGUGAACGUAUUCCUUGGGAGCAUAAUCACUGGAACUGCAUU